Molecule: ribosomal RNA, 345 nt
Filed under: uncultured bacterium
Lineage: Bacteria
Description: bacterial SSU rRNA
Rfam family: Bacterial small subunit ribosomal RNA
Source: RNAcentral
AGGGUUCGAUUCUGGCUCAGGAUGAACGCUGGCGGCGUGCCUAACACAUGCAAGUCGAACGAAGCACUUUAUUACGAUUUCUUCGGAAUGACGAUUUGGUGACUGAGUGGCGGACGGGUGAGUAACGCGUGGAUAACCUGCCCCAUACAGGGGGAUAACAGUUAGAAAUGACUGCUAAUACCGCAUAAGCGCACAGUAUCGCAUGAUACGGUGUGAAAAACUCCGGUGGUAUGGGAUGGAUCCGCGUCUGAUUAGCCAGUUGGCGGGGUAGAGGCCCACCAAAGCGACGAUCAGUAGCCGACCUGAGAGGGUGACCGGCCACAUUGGGACUGAGACACGGCCCAA